RNAcentral lists this ribosomal RNA (916 nucleotides) under Dothiorella vidmadera. RNAcentral describes it as "SSU rRNA". It matches the Rfam family "Eukaryotic small subunit ribosomal RNA", at positions 174 to 1105 of the family's 1831-position model. Lineage: Eukaryota; Fungi; Ascomycota; Dothideomycetes; Botryosphaeriales; Botryosphaeriaceae. The record is from RNAcentral.
ACCCCAACUUCGGAAGGGGUGUAUUUAUUAGAUAAAAAACCCAUGCCUUCGGGGCUCCUUGGUGAUUCAUGAUAACUUAACGAAUCGCAUGGCCUUGCGCCGGCGAUGGUUCAUUCAAAUUUCUGCCCUAUCAACUUUCGAUGGUAGGAUAGUGGCCUACCAUGGUAUCAACGGGUAACGGGGAAUUAGGGUUCUAUUCCGGAGAGGGAGCCUGAGAAACGGCUACCACAUCCAAGGAAGGCAGCAGGCGCGCAAAUUACCCAAUCCCGACACGGGGAGGUAGUGACAAUAAAUACUGAUACAGGGCUCUUUUGGGUCUUGUAAUUGGAAUGAGUACAAUUUAAAUACCUUAACGAGGAACAAUUGGAGGGCAAGUCUGGUGCCAGCAGCCGCGGUAAUUCCAGCUCCAAUAGCGUAUAUUAAAGUUGUUGCAGUUAAAAAGCUCGUAGUUGAACCUUGGGCCUGGCUGGCCGGUCCGCCUCACCGCGUGUACUGGUCCGGCCGGGCCUUUCCUUCUGGGGAUCCGCAUGCCCUUCACUGGGUGUGUCGGGGAACCAGGACUUUUACUUUGAAAAAAUUAGAGUGUUCAAAGCAGGCCUUUGCUCGAAUACAUUAGCAUGGAAUAAUAGAAUAGGACGUGCGGUCCUAUUUUGUUGGUUUCUAGGACCGCCGUAAUGAUUAAUAGGGAUAGUCGGGGGCAUCAGUAUUCAAUUGUCAGAGGUGAAAUUCUUGGAUUUAUUGAAGACUAACUACUGCGAAAGCAUUUGCCAAGGAUGUUUUCAUUAAUCAGUGAACGAAAGUUAGGGGAUCGAAGACGAUCAGAUACCGUCGUAGUCUUAACCGUAAACUAUGCCGACUAGGGAUCGGGCGAUGUUAUUCUUUUGACUCGCUCGGCACCUUACGAGAAAUCAAAGUC